CCUACGGGUGGCAGCAGUGAGGAAUAUUGGUCAAUGGACGGAAGUCUGAACCAGCCAUGCCGCGUGCAGGAAGAUUGCUCUAUGAGUUGUAAACUGCUUUUGUACAAGGGUAAACCUGAAUACGUGUAUUCAGCUGAAAGUACUGUACGAAUAAGGAUCGGCUAACUCCGUGCCAGCAGCCGCGGUAAUACGGAGGAUCCAAGCGUUAUCCGGAUUUAUUGGGUUUAAAGGGUGCGUAGGCGGAUUGAUAAGUUAGUGGUGAAAUGUCCGAGCUUAACUCGGGAAUUGCGUUUAAUACUGUAGAUGUAGAGAGAGGAUGGGGUAGGCGGAAUGUAUGGGGUAGCGGUGAA
RNAcentral lists this ribosomal RNA (350 nucleotides) under uncultured bacterium. RNAcentral describes it as "partial 16S ribosomal RNA". It matches the Rfam family "Bacterial small subunit ribosomal RNA", at positions 338 to 685 of the family's 1533-position model. The record is from RNAcentral.